GAGCGGGCCAGGCGAUCGCGCGCCCAUCGGGCGUGAGGAAAGUCCGGGCUCCGCAGGGCAGGAUGCCAGCUAACGGCUGGGCGGGGCGACCCGACGGAAAGUGCCGCAGAAAAGAAGACUCCCCCGCGUCCUUGCGACGGCGGGAGAAAAGCUGAAACGGUGCGGUAAGAGCGCACCAGCGCGUCGGCGACGGCGCGGCUUGGCAAACCCCAUCCGGAGCAAGCGCAAAUAGGAACGCGAUACGGUGGCCCGCCGUGCGUUCGGGUUGCGUGCUUGAGGCGUGCGGCGACGCACGUUCGAGAUAAAUGAUCGUCCCCGACAGAACCCGGCUUAUCGGCCCGCUCG
This 345-nucleotide RNase P RNA is filed under the name Enteroscipio rubneri. Its description in RNAcentral is "Bacterial RNase P class A". It matches the Rfam family "Bacterial RNase P class A". From Rfam's summary of the family: Ribonuclease P (RNase P) is a ubiquitous endoribonuclease, found in archaea, bacteria and eukarya as well as chloroplasts and mitochondria. The record is from RNAcentral. Lineage: Bacteria; Bacillati; Actinomycetota; Coriobacteriia; Eggerthellales; Eggerthellaceae.